GACGAACGCUGGCGGCGUGCUUAACACAUGCAAGUCGAACGGAAAGGCCCUGCUUUUGCGGGGUGCUCGAGUGGCGAACGGGGGAGUAACACGUGAGUAACCUGCCCUUGACUUUGGGAUAACUUCAGGAAACUGGGGCUAUAACCGGAGAGGAUCUCCUGCUGCAUGGGGGGGGUUGGAAAGUUACGGCGGUGGGGGAUGGCUUGGCGGGUUAUCAGCUUGUUGGUGGGGUAGUGGCUUACCAAGGCUUUGACGGGUAGCCGGCCUGGGAGGGUGGCCGGCCACAUUGGGCCUGAGGUACGCACCAGACUCCUACGGGCGGCAACAGUGGAAAAUAUUACACAGUGGGGGCGCGCCUGAUGCAGCGGCCCCCCGUGCGGGAUGCCGGCCUUCGGGUUGUAAACCGAUUUCGCCUUUGACGAGGCGGUCGUGACGGUAAUGGGUAAAAAAGCACCGGCUAACUACGUG
RNAcentral lists this ribosomal RNA (468 nucleotides) under uncultured bacterium. Its description in RNAcentral is "partial 16S ribosomal RNA". It matches the Rfam family "Bacterial small subunit ribosomal RNA", at positions 28 to 507 of the family's 1533-position model. The record is from RNAcentral.